GGAUGGUCGCGCGGAUCUUCAGAGAUUAGAGUUUGAUCAUGGCUCAGGAUGAACGCUAGCGGUGUGCCUAAUGCAUGCAAGUCGAACGGGAUCCUUGGAUUCGUCUGAGGUGAGAGUGGCGAACGGGUGAGUAACACGUAGGUGACCUGCCCCGGAGAGGGGGACAACCACUGGAAACGGUGGCUAAUACCCCAGAUGUCUUUGCGCUUAGAAAGCAAUGACUAAAGUUCCGGCGCUCCGGGAGGGGCCUGCGGCCCAUCAGCUUGUUGGUAAGGUAAUGGCUUACCAAGGCAAAGACGGGUAGGGGGCGUGAGAGCGUGACCCCCCACACUGGUACUGAGACACGGACCAGAUACCUGCGGGUAGCAGCAGCAAGGAAUAUUGCCCAAUGGACGAAAGUCUGAGGCAGCAACGCCGCGUGGAGGAUGAAGGCCUUCGGGUUGUAAACUCCUUUUCUGGGGGAAGAGAAAGGACGGUACCCCAGGAAUAAGUCUCGGCUAACUACGUGCCAGCAGCCGCGGUAAAACGUAGGAGGCGAGCGUUAUCCGGAUUUACUGGGCGUAAAGCGCAUGCAGGCGGUUUUUUAAGUCGGACGUGAAAGCUCCCGGCCCAACUGGGAGAGGCCGUUCGAAACUGGAAAACUUGAGGAUGGUAGAGGAGAGUGGAAUUCCCGGUGUAGUGGUGAAAUGCGUAGAUAUCGGGAGGAACACCAGUGGCGAAGGCGGCUCUCUGGGCCAUUCCUGACGCUCAGAUGCGAAAGCUAGGGGAGAGAACGGGAUUAGAAACCCCGGUAUUCCUAGCCGUAAACGAUGUCAACUAGGCGUAGGAGGUUAUUGACCCCUUCUGUGCUGUAGCUAACGCAUUAAGUUGACCGCCUGGGGACUACGGCCGCAAGGCUAAAACUCAAAGGAAUUGACGGGGACCCGCACAAGCAGCGGAGCGUGUGGUUUAAUUCGAGGCUACGCGAAGAACCUUACCAGGGCUUGACAUAUAGCUGGUAGUGAGUCGAAAGAUGAACGACCCUUCGGGGAGGCUAUACAGGUGCUGCAUGGCUGUCGUCAGCUCGUGCCGUGAGGUGUUU
Molecule: ribosomal RNA, 1081 nt
Filed under: uncultured bacterium
Lineage: Bacteria
Description: bacterial SSU rRNA
Rfam family: Bacterial small subunit ribosomal RNA
Source: RNAcentral